Molecule: ribosomal RNA, 468 nt
Filed under: uncultured bacterium
Lineage: Bacteria
Description: partial 16S ribosomal RNA
Rfam family: Bacterial small subunit ribosomal RNA
Source: RNAcentral
GAUGAACGCUGGCGGCGUGCUUAACACAUGCAAGUCGAACGGUGAAGGCGGAGCUUGCUCUGCUGGUUCAGUGGCGACCGGGUGAGUAACACGUGAGCAAUCUGCCCCUGACUCUGGGAUACGCGCUGGAAACGGCGUCUAAUACUGGAUACGAGCUGCGAAGGCAUCUUCAGCAGCUGGAAAGAAUUUCGGUCAGGGAUGAGCUCGCGGCCUAUCAGCUUGUUGGUGAGGUAAUGGCUCACCAAGGCGUCGACGGGUAGCCGGCCUGAGAGGGUGACCGGCCACACUGGGACUGAGACACGGCCCAGACUCCUACGGGAGGCAGCGGUGGGGAAUAUUGCACAAUGGGCGAAAGCCAGAUGCAGCAACGCCGCGUGGGGGACGACGGCCUUCGGUUUGUAAACCUCUUUUAGCAGGGAAGAAGCGAAAGUGACGGUACCUGCAGAAAAAGCGCCGGCUAACUACGUG